GCAACACAAGCAGAACAUUCAGCAGCGUGAAUGGAGUCGAGGCUUUCCAUGACUUACGUAUGGAGAGCAGUCUUUCUUACAGUAUAUGUUUUUAUGGCUUGGAGCGAUCUACGACUCGCAAGGCAUUUUCUAAAGCCAGAACAAAUAAACUGGAAAAGGUCAACAGGGAAAUGAAGUUUUAACAGAACACCAAAGUUUCUGUAUUCCUGUUGCCUGUAUUCGAGUUUGAAAGUUCAUCCAAAUGUUCUUUUAACCCAGCACACAUUCCUUCAUCUUCAGUAACUACUCUAUCUCGAUCAGAGGUGGAUUUGGAGCCAAUCCUGACAACACCUGGCUCAAGGUGGGACAGUCCACCAGUUCUCCAGCACCUAUUGGUUGAAAUAAAUUAAUGAAUGAAUAAUGAACAUCUUACACUAGGCCUCUUUAAUCAUCUAUUCACACAAGC
Tachysurus vachellii is the source of this 445-nucleotide long non-coding RNA. RefSeq lists it as uncharacterized. The record is from RefSeq and is a predicted model, not a curated record. NCBI's taxonomy places the organism in Eukaryota, Metazoa, Chordata, Actinopteri, Siluriformes, Bagridae. The transcript has 3 exons.